CGACAGGAUGCUAAUCCCAAAAACCUCUCUCAGUUCGGAUCGAAGUCUGCAACCCGACUUCGUGAAGCUGGAUUCGCUAGUAAUCGCGCAUCAGCCAUGGCGCGGUGAAUACGGUUCCCGGGCCUUGUACACACCGCCCGUCAAGCCAUGAAAGCCGGGGGUACCUGAAGUACGUAACCGCAAGGAGCGUCCUAGGGUAAAACUGGUAAUUGGGGCUAAGUCGUAACAAGGUAAC
Molecule: ribosomal RNA, 235 nt
Filed under: uncultured bacterium
Lineage: Bacteria
Description: partial 16S ribosomal RNA
Rfam family: Bacterial small subunit ribosomal RNA
Source: RNAcentral